RNAcentral lists this ribosomal RNA (280 nucleotides) under uncultured bacterium. Its description in RNAcentral is "partial 16S ribosomal RNA". It matches the Rfam family "Bacterial small subunit ribosomal RNA", at positions 29 to 334 of the family's 1533-position model. The record is from RNAcentral.
AACGAACGCUGGCGGCAGGCCUAACACAUGCAAGUCGAACGAAGCCUUCGGGCUUAGUGGCGCACGGGUGAGUAACGCGUGGGAAUCUGCCCAAUAGUGGGGAAUAACUUCGGGAAACUGAAGCUAAUACCGCAUACGCCCUUCGGGGGAAAGGCUUCGGCCGCUAAUGGAUGAGCCCGCGUUGAAUUAGCUUGUUGGUGGGGUAAUGGCCUACCAAGGCGACGAUUCAUAGCUGGUCUGAGAGGACGAUCAGCCACACUGGGACUGAGACACGGCCCAG